GCAGUGCUGUCUGUGGCUCUUUCUACCCAGUCUCUCCUUCUACAGAUGCCAGACCCACACCGACGGAGUGAUAGCAAUGCCUGCGGCACUGAGCUGUGGUCAGGACGCAAUGUAACCUGCUCAGAACAUGCGGGGAGCACAGCCUAAGUGGAAGAGCUGGGACAGUCACCACCGACCACAUCCACUCAUGGAUAGUUUUAGCCAAAGGAGGUAUUUCUCUUGCACUGUAAGCCAAUUUCAGCCAGGCCACCAAAAUUGCCUCCCUCAGAAGCAAAUAUCUGCAGAAGAUCCAAGAAAAUUUGCUCAAGGGUUAGCUCCCACCUUUGCUCCAAGAGACACUGGCUCCACUGCUGAAUGAACAAAUUGUGCAGCUCAGCCUACGUUAGGCUGUAUGCUCACAUCUCCUCCUCUGGAUCUUGGUUCCCCGGCAGAUGAGUGCAACUAGGCCCUGGGGUCCUUCCCAGCUGCAGCAUUCUAGGAUGAGGACGGAGCACUGGCCUCUGUCUGUGGCCUCAGAGGCAGCCAGCUGCCUCUCCCACCCACUCUGUUGUGUCCUGGGUGUGUGAAGGGGCUGCGCUUAGCUGCGUCUUCUUUUGUCUGGAGAUGACAGUCCACAGACCAGGAAGGAAGGGUGGGAAUGACGGUUUGCAGAGGGAAGGCGAGGGGAGCUAUUUCCACCUACUUUGGCCUGGACUGCCCCAUGCUGCACGUCUCCUGGGAUUUCCAUAGCCGAAGUAUCUCCCACUUACCACAUGGGCCAGCUCCCUGUCUUCCAAGCUUCCAUUUCUACAGCCUCAGUUACUGGAGGCUUUUGUCUACCCAAGCCUGGGGAACUGCUAUUCAUGAAAAUGGCAGUAUUCAUUGUUUUUGAAGAUGUCUAAGUCCCAGAAAACAUAAGAAGGUUCGAGAUGGCUUUUAAUAUGAAGGAGAGCGGUCUUCAUUUUUUUUCUGGUGAAAGGAACACUUUUUAAUGAAAACUCAAGUUAAUGUUAAAUGACAAAUGUCAUAGAGCCAGCCACGAGUCUUUCUAACUUUGUUGUGGCCAUAAAUGACAGACAUGUGCAAUCAAGUCCCCAGGUCAACAGAGGGACAGAUUGCUGGCAGAACCACCCUCAGCAGGUUGGUUCUGUAAGAUCACCGUCCUGACCCCCAGGAGCACACUCACCCAUGGGGUCAGGCUGCUAUUAGAAAUUCCUUCCAGAGAUGCCAGGUGAGAGGGAGGCAGGCAGACAGACAUCUGUGGGGGUCACAUUCACCCCAGACAGUUCAUUGCCGGAAGGAAGCCACAUGCCUCACGUCGAAGCUCAUCUGAUUGGAGUCAGACACAGCCAGAUACAGUCAUGAUUGUGUCCAGAGGCCCACGGGGGCUGGCGGGGCCCUUCACGACAGCUGCUACGGCACAGCCCAUCUGGAAGGGCUCUUUUUGUUCAACGCUUUAACCCUCUGAGGACCCUCGGGACCAAGGGAUGCCACACCCUGGGCCUGGACCCUCUCUCCACCUGGAGCCCCUCUCCUUCCUGCCUCCCUCUGAUUCAUGCCCGGUGGGUAGGAGUCCUACUUCCUCUCCUCUUCCCUGAACACAGUAACAGUGGGUGUGCUCCUGAAGGUGACGUGAGGGCAACAAGACUGACUGACCUUCCUCGUCCACCUA
This 1651-nucleotide long non-coding RNA is filed under the name Homo sapiens (human). Its description in RNAcentral is "HSALNT0097634". The record is from RNAcentral. Lineage: Eukaryota; Metazoa; Chordata; Mammalia; Primates; Hominidae.